CUCUUCUGUUGGGGGUCUCGGACUGACAUAGCCUCGGCCAAUCACAGCCUGAGUCAGAGGUGGCGGCCCAUAGGGGGCGUGAUGGCGGCCAUGCCGUUCGUCAGCGAGGGAAAGUGUGUGAGCGUGGAGUGGGACUUCCUACAGGGGCUUCUCGCCAAACCACCCACCUUACCCUGCUUGCAGAACUUGAGGAAGGAGAAGUCGCGCAAUGCUGCUCGUUCUCGGCGGGGUAAGGAGAACUUUGAGUUCUUCGAGCUGGCGAAGAUGCUUCCUCUCCCCGGGGCAAUUACCAGCCAGCUGGACAAGGCCUCCAUCAUCCGCCUCACCAUCAGUUACCUGCACAUGAGACACUUUGCCAGUCAGGGAGACCCACCCUGGAGCCCUCUAAUGGAGGGAGCGAACAACUGCAACAAGAUGCGGAGAACAAGUCAUUCGCUGGUCAAUGACAUAUUUGAACAACACCUUGGAGCUCAUCUACUACAGUCUCUGGAUGGAUUUGUGUUUGUGGUCAGUCAGGAAGGACGAUUUCUGUAUAUCUCAGAGACUGUGUCCAUCUACCUUGGCCUUUCACAGGUUGAGUUGACUGGCAGUAGCGUGUUCGAUUACAUCCACCCUGCGGAUCAUGUUGAAAUGGCGGAGCGUCUUGGCAUUAGGCCACACCUCCGGGCAGAGGCAGGCUGUCAAACGUCCCACGAGAGCGCUUCAAGCUCCGCCUCCACAUCCUCACUGGCCGGCACUCCAGAACCAGCACCAUCUAGUCCCCGUUCUCCAGUCAGUGAGUUAUCAGAACGUGGCUUCUUCAUCAGGAUGAAAUCCACCCUCACCAAGCGUGGCCUCCACAUUAAAUCCUCGGGCUAUAAAGUGAUUCAUGUGACAGGUCGGAUUCGGUGUCGGCCAGCUCUGGUGCCAGGCUCCUCCCGUGCCUUGCAUCGACCAAUGGGAUUGGUCGCUCUGGCUCACACACUUCCGCCCUCCACGCUCAAUGAGGUGCGCAUGGAAAGUCACAUGUUUGUCUUCAGAGUCAACAUGGACCUGCAGGUCACCUACUGUGAGAACAGGAUAUCAGAGUAUAUGGACCUGAGCCCAGCUGAGGUGGUUGGACGUACCUGCUACCACUUCAUCCAUGCAGAAGACCUAGACACCAUCAGACAGAGCCACGAAGACUUGCUGCGGAAAGGGCAGGUUGUGACGGGGUACUAUCGCUGGCUGCAGAGGAGAGGAGGCUAUCUGUGGAUUCAGUCCUGUGCCACCGUGUCCAUUAACCACAAAGCGCCCCAUGAGCGUAACGUCAUCUGGGUCAACUAUGUGCUCAGUCGCCCAGAGCUGGCAGACAUGCCUCUGGACUUAUUACAACUCCCAGAAAGCCUGAGGGCAGAGCGGCUUCAAGCAAGCUCCUCCCCAUGCGACACCUCUCCAAAGGCACAAGGCUCCACAGGGACACAACCAUUGAAAGGCAGGCCCGAGACAGACCACAAGGGGAAAGAAGCAUUCUCGCACACUGCUGCCAGCCAAUCAGAGAACACCAGGAAGAGAUUGCACCAGUCUGAUGCUGAAAGCGGCCCUCCUGUGGCAAGGAGGCGGAUGGAGGUGUUCAGGCAAAGAGAGGACAGCCCAUGUCCCUCCUCAGACCAAGCCAGUGACAGCGAGGUGGAAGAGGACGAUGAGAGGGAGAACGAGUGGGACCACAACCUCACCAGCAAACGGGUGAAGAGAGAAGAGGGGCCAUUGAAACAAGGCAAUGGGGCCAAUGGAGCAGGUAAAAUCCACAAUGGCCGUGCAGUGAUCCAGCAUCUUAAGAGUGUGGUGACCAAUUCAGGGUCGAAUAUUAAGACUGAACAAGAAGUGAUGGGAACAACUGUAGGCCCAGGUUCUGGGAGGCACUGGAGCCAAGCUCAGCCCAGCAGUGGAGGAACCAAUGGCAGCAGUCCACCUUCCCAUCCUCAAAAUUCCACCCCUACAGAAGCUUCAUCCAAGGGUCUGUUUAACCCCCCUUCCCCAACCCUGUCGCCAACCAUUCCUGCCACAUCCAUGCCCAGAGAUGAUCGGUCUAUCCACGGAGGGCGCGCUCCAGACUUUGAACUACUGCAGAGACUGACUGCAAGUGGGGCUGCAGGACAUGUUCUCUUUCACCCCCUGGCUCUUGGCCCACAGGGGCCCCAGAGUCUCUAUGCUCCCAGCACUAUUCGCUACGCCCCACCUGAGAUGCCAACAGCUCACACUGAAGGGCACCGCUCAGACCAUGUGGCCAAAACUCCCGCUUUCUUUCCCCACUUGCAAAGGAUUGCAUCUCUGCCUUCCUUUAACGGUUUUUCUCCAGCUGAACCCAUUUUUCCUCCACCUCUGCCCUUCUGUAUGAAUGGACUGAGGGGGGCAGCAGGGACAGAUGAGGAUUGA
Molecule: long non-coding RNA, 2394 nt
Organism: Cyprinus carpio (common carp)
Lineage: Eukaryota; Metazoa; Chordata; Actinopteri; Cypriniformes; Cyprinidae
Source: Ensembl